UGAUAAGCUGUGGUACUGAGUGAGAGGCUUUGUUGGCAGUGUCUCAUCUUUUGUGCUAGUAGAGAUGCUAUUACAUUACUCUUACAAGAAACAGGGGAAGUUUGUAUGAACAAUGAACCCCAGAGUCUGAUGAUUCAGAAGACCAACGACGCUUCUGAUUGGAAAGUUCUACUGCAGACUGUAAAGUAGGAAGCUUGAAGGCAGAAGAAAGAAAAUCUAAAAUGAAUAAUUUGGAACAAGGAAGUGCCAUGUGAUACAAUAAAGUGAAACUGAGAAUCUAUUUAAAUAUUUCCUUUUGAAAUUAAAAAUUAUAUAAUAUCAAAAGUUGAGUUAUAAAAUACAUUUUG
RNAcentral lists this long non-coding RNA (347 nucleotides) under Limulus polyphemus (Atlantic horseshoe crab). Its description in RNAcentral is "uncharacterized LOC111086992, transcript variant X1". Lineage: Eukaryota; Metazoa; Arthropoda; Merostomata; Xiphosura; Limulidae. The record is from RNAcentral.